Molecule: ribosomal RNA, 788 nt
Filed under: uncultured bacterium
Lineage: Bacteria
Description: bacterial SSU rRNA
Rfam family: Bacterial small subunit ribosomal RNA
Source: RNAcentral
CUUGUCUCAGUGGCGCACGGGUGAGUAACGCGUAAGAAUCUGCCUUUAGGGAGAGGAUAACAAUUGGAAACGAUUGCUAAUACUCUAUAAGCUGAGAAGUAAAAUAAUGUAUAAUUAAUUAACAUUGCCUGAAGAGGAGCUUGCGUCUGAUUAGCCUGUUGGUAAGGUAAUGGCUUACCAAAGCUAUAAUCAGUAGCUGGUCUGAGAGGAUGAACAGCCACACCGGAACUUAGAUACGGUCCGGACUCCUACGGGAGGCAGCAGUGAGGAAUUUUCCGCAAUGGGCGAAAGCCUGACGGAGCAAUACCGCGUGGAGGAUGAAAGCCUAUGGGUUGUAAACUCCUUUUCUUAGAGAAGAAGUUCUGACGGUAUCUAAAGAAUAAGCAUCGGCUAACUCCGUGCCAGCAGCCGCGGUAAUACGGGGGAUGCAAGCGUUAUCCGGAAUUAUUGGGUGUAAAGCGUCUGUAGGUUGCUUAUUUAAGUCAGUUGUUAAAUCUCAGAACUCAAUUCUGAUAAGAGCAACUGAGACUACUAAGCUAGAGUCGGGUAGAGGCAGAAGGAACUCCGAGUGUAGCGGUGAAAUGCGUAGAUAUUCGGAAGAACACCGAAGGCGAAGGCAUUCUGCUGGGCUAGUACUGACACUGAGAGACGAAAGCGAGGGGAGAGAAUGGGAUUAGAUACCCCAGUAUUCCUCGCUGUAAACGAUGGAUAUUAGGUAUUAGGCGAUAGAGCCUAGUACUGAAGUUAACGCGUUAAAUAUCCCACCUGGGGAGUAUGCUCGCAAGAGU